RNAcentral lists this ribosomal RNA (253 nucleotides) under uncultured bacterium. Its description in RNAcentral is "partial 16S ribosomal RNA". It matches the Rfam family "Bacterial small subunit ribosomal RNA", at positions 524 to 776 of the family's 1533-position model. The record is from RNAcentral.
UACGUAGGGGGCAAGCGUUGUCCGGAAUCAUUGGGCGUAAAGCGCGUGUAGGCGGUUCGGUAAGUCUGCUGUGAAAGUCCAGGGCUCAACCCUGGGAUGCCGGUGGAUACUGUCGGGCUAGAGUGCGGAAGAGGCGAGUGGAAUUCCCGGUGUAGCGGUGAAAUGCGCAGAUAUCAGGAAGAACACCCGUGGCUAAGGCGGCUCUCUAGUACGGUACUGACGCUGAGACGCGAAAGCGUGGGGAGCGAACAGG